UGGUGGAGUGAUUUGUCUGGUUAAUUCCGUUAACGAACGAGACCUCGACCUGCUAAAUAGUCUGCCGAUCUCCGGAUGGGCAGUACUUCUUAGAGGGACAAUCGGUGUGUAGCCGAUGGAAGUUCGAGGCAAUAACA
RNAcentral lists this ribosomal RNA (137 nucleotides) under uncultured eukaryote. RNAcentral's name for it is "partial 18S ribosomal RNA". It matches the Rfam family "Eukaryotic small subunit ribosomal RNA", at positions 1299 to 1458 of the family's 1831-position model. The record is from RNAcentral.